CUCCGUGUCUCUCUCUCAACUCUGCUGAAGACUUAACACUUACAUUUCCUCCUUCGAGCAGACACUAAACAGCUGUCACUGUGUGAGCUGCACGCUCACUUGCUGGGGGAAAACAUUUCUUACCCAGAUACUUUCUCCAGUUCUUGAAUGAAGGAAAAGAGUCAGUCUUGGCACAUUUAAAAAAGAAGAAAACAAGGUGUAUGCAAAGUGCAGAUCUUCAUGUCACAUCUCUGAACCUAAGGAACAGAAUUAAAACCUCUGGGGGAAAAAAAUAGACAAAACAUCUAUCAAAAACAUCUGCUAAUCAUCAACAUUAGUUACUGAAGCAAGCCUGCACUG
Molecule: long non-coding RNA, 339 nt
Organism: Rhea pennata
Lineage: Eukaryota; Metazoa; Chordata; Aves; Rheiformes; Rheidae
Exons: 3
Source: RefSeq, a predicted model, not a curated record